AAAAGACGACUGAUAA
This 16-nucleotide small RNA is filed under the name Arabidopsis thaliana (thale cress). RNAcentral describes it as "ATSL098620". The record is from RNAcentral. Lineage: Eukaryota; Viridiplantae; Streptophyta; Magnoliopsida; Brassicales; Brassicaceae.